CCGUAGCCAUUUUGGCUCGCUUAAG
RNAcentral lists this small RNA (25 nucleotides) under Karenia brevis. RNAcentral describes it as "trans-spliced leader sequence SL". The record is from RNAcentral. Lineage: Eukaryota; Dinophyceae; Gymnodiniales; Kareniaceae.